Molecule: ribosomal RNA, 253 nt
Filed under: uncultured bacterium
Lineage: Bacteria
Description: partial 16S ribosomal RNA
Rfam family: Bacterial small subunit ribosomal RNA
Source: RNAcentral
UACGAAGGGGGCUAGCGUUGCUCGGAACCACUGGGCGUAAAGCGCACGUAGGCGGCUUGUUAAGUCAGGGGUGAAAUCCUGGAGCUCAACUCCAGAACUGCCUUUGAUACUGGCGAUCUCGAGUCCGGGAGAGGUGAGUGGAACUGCGAGUGUAGAGGUGAAAUUCGUAGAUAUUCGCAAGAACACCAGUGGCGAAGGCGGCUCACUGGCCCGGUACUGACGCUGAGACGCGAAAGCGUGGGGAGCGAACAGG